AUACGCAUCCUUUGCUGAGGAGACGGUUAACGGAGCGAAAGCGACGUUCAACCUCAAAAGAAGCAGAGGGGGCUUAGUGGUGGGGUGACUGCGUACCUUUUGUAUAAUGGGUCAGCGACUUAUAUUCUGUAGCAAGGUUAACUGUAUAGGGGAGCCGGAGGGAAACCGAGUCUUAACCGGGCGUUAAGUUGCAGGGUAUAGACCCGAAACCCGGUGAUCUAGCCAUGGGCAGGUUGAAGGUUGGGUAACACUAACUGGAGGACCGAACCGACUAAUGUUGAAAAAUUAGCGGAUGACCUGUGGCUGGGGGUGAAAGGCCAAUCAAACCGGGAGAUAGCUGGUUCUCCCCGAAAGCUAUUUAGGUAGCGCCUCGUGAAUUCAUCUCCGGGGGUAGAGCACUGUUUCGGCUAGGGGGCCAUCCCGGCUUACCAACCCGAUGCAAACUGCGAAUACCGGAGAAUGUUAUCACGGGAGACACACGGCGGGUGCUAAUGUCCGUCGUGAAGAGGGAAACAACCCAGACCGCCAGCUAAGGUCCCAAAGUCAUGGUUAAGUGGGAAACGAUGUGGGAAGGCCCAGACAGCCAGGAUGUUGGCUUAGAAGCAGCCAUCAUUUAAAGAAAGCGUAAUAGCUCACUGGUCGAGUCGGCCUGCGCGGAAGAUGUAACGGGGCUAAACCAUGCACCGAAGCUGCGGCAGCGACACCGUGUGUUGUUGGGUAGGGGAGCGUUCUGUAAGCCUGUGAAGGUGUGCUGUGAGGCAUGCUGGAGGUAUCAGAAGUGCGAAUGCUGACAUAAGUAACGAUAAAGCGGGUGAAAAGCCCGCUCGCCGGAAGACCAAGGGUUCCUGUCCAACGUUAAUCGGGGCAGGGUGAGUCGACCCCUAAGGCGAGGCCGAAAGGCGUAGUCGAUGGGAAACGGGUUAAUAUUCCCGUACUUGGUGUUACUGCGAAGGGGGGACGGAGAAGGCUAUGUUGGCCGGGCGACGGUUGUCCCGGUUUAAGCGUGUAGGUAUGUGUUCCAGGUAAAUCCGGUUCACUUUAACACUGAGGCGUGACGACGAGGCACUACGGUGCUGAAGCAACAAAUGCCCUGCUUCCAGGAAAAGCCUCUAAGCAUCAGGUAACAUCAAAUCGUACCCCAAACCGACACAGGUGGUCAGGUAGAGAAUACCAAGGCGCUUGAGAGAACUCGGGUGAAGGAACUAGGCAAAAUGGUGCCGUAACUUCGGGAGAAGGCACGCUGACACGUAGGUGAAGUGAUUUACUCACGGAGCUGAAGUCAGCCGAAGAUACCAGCUGGCUGCAACUGUUUAUUAAAAACACAGCACUGUGCAAACACGAAAGUGGACGUAUACGGUGUGACGCCUGCCCGGUG
This 1375-nucleotide ribosomal RNA is filed under the name Salmonella enterica subsp. enterica serovar Typhi str. CT18. RNAcentral's name for it is "partial 23S ribosomal RNA". It matches the Rfam family "Bacterial large subunit ribosomal RNA", at positions 568 to 1868 of the family's 2925-position model. The record is from RNAcentral. Lineage: Bacteria; Pseudomonadati; Pseudomonadota; Gammaproteobacteria; Enterobacterales; Enterobacteriaceae.